This 1343-nucleotide ribosomal RNA is filed under the name uncultured bacterium. RNAcentral describes it as "16S ribosomal RNA". It matches the Rfam family "Bacterial small subunit ribosomal RNA", at positions 28 to 1378 of the family's 1533-position model. The record is from RNAcentral.
GACGAACGCUUGCGGCGUGCUUAACACAUGCAAGUCGAACGGAAAGGCCCUGCUUUUGUGGGGUGCUCGAGUGGCGAACGGGUGAGUAACACGUGAGUAACCUGCCCUUGACUUUGGGAUAACUUCAGGAAACUGGGGCUAAUACCGGAUAGGAGCUCCUGCUGCAUGGUGGGGGUUGGAAAGUUUCGGCGGUUGGGGAUGGACUCGCGGCUUAUCAGCUUGUUGGUGGGGUAGUGGCUUACCAAGGCUUUGACGGGUAGCCGGCCUGAGAGGGUGACCGGCCACAUUGGGACUGAGAUACGGCCCAGACUCCUACGGGAGGCAGCAGUGGGGAAUAUUGCACAAUGGGCGGAAGCCUGAUGCAGCAACGCCGCGUGCGGGAUGACGGCCUUCGGGUUGUAAACCGCUUUCGCCUGUGACGAAGCGUGAGUGACGGUGAUGGGUAAAGAAGCACCGGCUAACUACGUGCCAGCAGCCGCGGUGAUACGUAGGGUGCGAGCGUUGUCCGGAUUUAUUGGGCGUAAAGGGCUCGUAGGUGGUUGAUCGCGUCGGAAGUGUAAUCUUGGGGCUUAACCCUGAGCGUGCUUUAGAUACGGGUUGACUUGAGGAAGGUAGGGGAGAAUGGAAUUCCUGGUGGAGCGGUGGAAUGCGCAGAUAUCAGGAGGAACACCAGUGGCGAAGGCGGUUCUCUGGGCCUUUCCUGACGCUGAGGAGCGAAAGCGUGGGGAGCGAACAGGCUUAGAUACCCUGGUAGUCCACGCUGUAAACGGUGGGUACUAGGUGUGGGGUCCAUUCCACGGGUUCCGUGCCGUAGCUAACGCUUUAAGUACCCCGCCUGGGGAGUACGGCCGCAAGGCUAAAACUCAAAGGAAUUGACGGGGCCCCGCACAAGCGGCGGAGCAUGCGGAUUAAUUCGAUGCAACGCGUAGAACCUUACCUGGGUUUGACAUGGAUCGGGAGUGCUCAGAGAUGGGUGUGCCUCUUUUGGGGUCGGUUCACAGGUGGUGCAUGGCUGUCGUCAGCUCGUGUCGUGAGAUGUUGGGUUAAGUCCCGCAACGAGCGCAACCCUUGUUCACUGUUGCCAGCACGUUAUGGUGGGGACUCAGUGGAGACCGCCGGGGUCAACUCGGAGGAAGGUGGGGAUGACGUCAAGUCAUCAUGCCCCUUAUGUCCAGGGCUUCACGCAUGCUACAAUGGCUGGUACAGAGAGUGGCGAGCCUGUGAGGGUGAGCGAAUCUCGGAAAGCCGGUCUCAGUUCGGAUUGGGGUCUGCAACUCGACCUCAUGAAGUCGGAGUCGCUAGUAAUCGCAGAUCAGCAACGCUGCGGUGAAUACGUUCCCGGG